GUGCUGAAUGAAGAUCUUAC
This 20-nucleotide microRNA is filed under the name Heligmosomoides polygyrus. RNAcentral describes it as "hpo-miR-10146-3p". The record is from miRBase by way of RNAcentral. Lineage: Eukaryota; Metazoa; Nematoda; Chromadorea; Rhabditida; Heligmosomidae.